GACGAACGCUGGCGGCGUGCUUAACACAUGCAAGUCGAACGGAAAGGCCCUGCUUUUGUGGGGUGCUCGAGUGGCGAACGGGUGAGUAACACGUGAGUAACCUGCCCUUGACUUUGGGAUAACUUCAGGAAACUGGGGCUACUACCGGAUCGGAGCUCCUCCUGCAUGGUGGGGGUUGGAAAUUUUCGGCGGUUGGGGAUGGACUCGCGGCUUUUCAGCUUGUUGGUGGGGUAGUGGCUUACCAAGGCUUUGACGGGUAGCCGGCCUGAGAGGGUGACCGGCGACAUUGGGACUGAGAGACGGCGCAGACUCCUACGGGAGGCAGCAGUGGGGAAUAUUGCACAAUGGGCGGAAGCCUGAUGCAGCAACGCCGCGUGCGGGAUGACGGCCUGCGGGGUGUAAACCGCUGUCGCCUGGGACGAAGCGGGAGUGACGGUAAUGGGUAAAGAAGCACCGGCUAACUACGUG
Molecule: ribosomal RNA, 468 nt
Filed under: uncultured bacterium
Lineage: Bacteria
Description: partial 16S ribosomal RNA
Rfam family: Bacterial small subunit ribosomal RNA
Source: RNAcentral